GACGAACGCUGGCGGCGUGCUUAACACAUGCAAGUCGAACGGAAAGGCCCUGCUUUUGUGGGGUGCUCGAGUGGCGAACGGGUGAGUACACGUGAGUAACCUGCCCUUGACUUUGGGAUAACUUCAGGAAACUGGGGCUAAUACCGGAUAGGAGCUCCUGCUGCAUGGUGGGGGUUGGAAAGUUUCGGCGGUUGGGGAUGGACUCGCGGCUUAUCAGCUUGUUGGUGGGGUAGUGGCUUACCAAGGCUUUGACGGGUAGCCGGCCUGAGAGGGUGACCGGCCACAUUGGGACUGAGAUACGGCCCAGACUCCUACGGGAGGCAGCAGUGGGGAAUAUUGCACAAUGGGCGGAAGCCUGAUGCAGCAACGCCGCGUGCGGGAUGACGGCCUUCGGGUUGUAAACCGCUUUCGCCUGUGACGAAGCGUGAGUGACGGUAAUGGGUAAAGAAGCACCGGCUAACUACGUG
This 467-nucleotide ribosomal RNA is filed under the name uncultured bacterium. RNAcentral describes it as "partial 16S ribosomal RNA". It matches the Rfam family "Bacterial small subunit ribosomal RNA", at positions 28 to 507 of the family's 1533-position model. The record is from RNAcentral.